UACAGAGGGUGCGAGCGUUGUCCGGAAUCACUGGGCGUAAAGGGCGCGUAGGCGGUCUCUUAAGCGUGCGGUGAAAGCCCGGGGCUCAACUCCGGGUCGGCCGUGCGAACUGGGGGACUGGAGCGUAUCAGAGGCGGGCGGAAUUCCGGGUGUAGCGGUGGAAUGCGUAGAGAUCCGGAAGAACACCGGAGGCGAAGGCGGCUUGCUGGACCUGGUCUGACGCUGAGGCGCGAAAGCGUGGGGAGCGAACAGG
Molecule: ribosomal RNA, 253 nt
Filed under: uncultured bacterium
Lineage: Bacteria
Description: partial 16S ribosomal RNA
Rfam family: Bacterial small subunit ribosomal RNA
Source: RNAcentral